RNAcentral lists this ribosomal RNA (418 nucleotides) under uncultured bacterium. Its description in RNAcentral is "bacterial SSU rRNA". It matches the Rfam family "Bacterial small subunit ribosomal RNA", at positions 89 to 518 of the family's 1533-position model. The record is from RNAcentral.
GACUUAGUGGCGGACGGGUGAGUAAUGUAUGAGCAACCUGCCUUUCAGAGGGGGACGAACAGUUGGAAACGACUGCUAAUACCGCAUAAUGUAUUCAGGAGGCAUCUCCGGAAUACCAAAGGAGCAAUCCGCUGAAAGAUGGGCUCAUAUCUGAUUAGUUAGUUGGCAGGUAACGGCCUACCAAGACUGCGAUCAGUAGCCGGACUGAGAGGUUGAACGGCCACAUUGGGACUGAGAUACGGCCCAGACUCCUACGGGAGGCAGCAGUGGGGAAUAUUGGGCAAUGGGCGAAAGCCCCUGACCCAGCAACGCCGCGUGAAGGAAGAAGGUCUUCGGAUUGUAAACUUCUUUUAUGAGGGACGAAGGACGUGACGGUACCUCAUGAAUAAGCCACGGCUAACUACGUGCCAGCCGCCGC